RNAcentral lists this ribosomal RNA (497 nucleotides) under uncultured bacterium. RNAcentral describes it as "partial 16S ribosomal RNA". It matches the Rfam family "Bacterial small subunit ribosomal RNA", at positions 28 to 507 of the family's 1533-position model. The record is from RNAcentral.
GAUGAACGCUGGCGGCGUGCCUAAUACAUGCAAGUCGAGCGAACAGACGAGGAGCUUGCUCCUCUGACGUUAGCGGCGGACGGGUGAGUAACACGUGGAUAACCUACCUAUAAGACUGGGAUAACUUCGGGAAACCGGAGCUAAUACCGGAUAAUAUAUUGAACCGCAUGGUUCAAUAGUGAAAGACGGUUUUGCUGUCACUUAUAGAUGGAUCCGCGCCGCAUUAGCUAGUUGGUAAGGUAACGGCUUACCAAGGCGACGAUGCGUAGCCGACCUGAGAGGGUGAUCGGCGACACUGGAACUGAGACACGGUCCAGACUCCUACGGGAGGCAGCAGUAGGGAAUCUUACGCAAUGGGCGAAAGCCUGACGGAGCAACGCCGCGUGAGUGAUGAAGGUCUUCGGAUCGUAAAACUCUGUUAUUAGGGAAGAACAAAUGUGUAAGUAACUAUGCACGUCUUGACGGUACCUAAUCAGAAAGCCACGGCUAACUACGUG